GACGAACGCUGGCGGCGUGCUUAACACAUGCCAGUCGAACGGGCCUUGUCCCCUUUUUUUUUGGGGGUGGGGUUAGUGGCGAACGGGUGAGUAACACGUGAGUAACCUGCCCCUCACUUCUGGAUAACCGCUUGAAAGGGUGGCUAAUACGGGGUGUUCUGGCCUGCUCGCAUGGGUGGGUUUGGAAAGAUUCGACCGGUUUUGGUUGUUUUGGUGGGGGAUGGGCUCGCGGCCUAUCAGCUUGUUGGUGGGGUGAUGGUCUGCCAAGGCUUUGACGGGUAGCCGGCCUGAGAGGGUGGGCGGUCACACUGGGACUGAGACACGGCCCAGACUCCUACGGGAGGCAGCAGUGGGGAAUAUUGCACAAUGGGCGCAAGCCUGAUGCAGCGACGCCGCGUGAGGGAUGGAGGCCUUCGGGUUGUGAACCUCUUUCGCCAGUGAAGAAGGUCCUGCUCUUUGUGGUGGGGUUGACGGUAGCUGGGUUAAUGAAGCGCCGGCUAACUACGUG
RNAcentral lists this ribosomal RNA (508 nucleotides) under uncultured bacterium. RNAcentral's name for it is "partial 16S ribosomal RNA". It matches the Rfam family "Bacterial small subunit ribosomal RNA", at positions 28 to 507 of the family's 1533-position model. The record is from RNAcentral.